AUGAAAAUGAUUUGAUGUUUUAUAAAAAAAUCGUAAACCACAAAAUCGCCAAUAGCCAAAACAUCCUCAAAAAUGGCCGUUAUUCAAAUAAGUAAAUGUGAAAUUGGUGCCUUAUGUUUUGAGGAGAAUAAUGUGUAAUGUUUGGGAAACAUCAUGUCAUAUAAUUCUAUAAUAGGCUAUUCAAAAUUAAAAUGUAUUAGAGAAUAUUCUCAAGUGCUAGCCUUAUAUUCAAUUUUAUUGGUCUUCCUAUGCUUAGCCAUUAUGCAAAAAUAAUAAGAUUUAUAUUAUAAAUGUAAUUAAUUUUUAAAUGAUUAAAUAUUCAUGCCAAUUCCUUCUCAAAAACUACCUUAUUUUUUUGAUUGCUCUUUGUCAUCAAACCAAUGUGUAAAAAAUAAAUAAUGUAUUUUUGUUUUUUUUAGAGUUUUCUCUAUAAUUUUAAAGUAGUGAAUCACAUAGUUGCUUAUCACCUUUAGUUUAUUCAAAUAUGUACCAAAAAUCUCAUAUAUAUAUUUCUGUGGGUACCCAUGCAAAUUAAAUUCAUAUAAUUAU
This is a long non-coding RNA of Gordionus sp. m RMFG-2023, 549 nucleotides long. RefSeq lists it as uncharacterized. NCBI's taxonomy places the organism in Eukaryota, Metazoa, Nematomorpha, Gordioida, Chordodea, Parachordodidae. The record is from RefSeq and is a predicted model, not a curated record. The transcript is spliced from 2 exons.